RNAcentral lists this ribosomal RNA (460 nucleotides) under uncultured bacterium. RNAcentral's name for it is "partial 16S ribosomal RNA". It matches the Rfam family "Bacterial small subunit ribosomal RNA", at positions 338 to 795 of the family's 1533-position model. The record is from RNAcentral.
CCUACGGGAGGCAGCAGUGAGGAAUAUUGGUCAAUGGACGAGAGUCUGAACCAGCCAAGUAGCGUGAAGGAUGACUGCCCUAUGGGUUGUAAACUUCUUUUAUAUGGGAAUAAAAUGUUCCACGUGUGGGAUUUUGUAUGUACCAUAUGAAUAAGGAUCGGCGAACUCCGUGCCAGCAGCCGCGGUAAUACGGAGGUUCCGAGCGUUAUCCGGAUUUAUUGGGUUUAAUGGGAGCGUAGAUGGAUUGUUAAGUCAGUCGUGAAAGUUUGCGGCUCAACCGUAAGAUUGCAGUUGAAACUGGCAGGCUGGAGUACAGUAGGGGUGGGCGGAAUUCGUGGUGUAGCGGUGAAAUGCUUAGAUAUCACGAAGAACUCCGAUUGCGAAGGCAGCUCACUGGACUGCAACUGACACUGAGGCUCGAAAGUGUGGGUAUCAAACAGGAUUAGAUACCCUUGUAGUC